GAAAGUGUUUCCCCCACCAAAUGCACAUUCGUGCUAUAUGGCACACAGUUGAUUUAUAUUAUUUUCUAGUUCAUAAGUCUGUUGAGUGCCAUAGAGCAAGAAGUGUGAUGCAUCCUC
RNAcentral lists this microRNA precursor (117 nucleotides) under Drosophila pseudoobscura. RNAcentral's name for it is "microRNA dps-mir-2511 precursor (dps-mir-2511-1)". The stretch from base 23 to 107 matches the Rfam family "mir-2511 microRNA precursor family". The record is from miRBase by way of RNAcentral. RNAcentral also lists the same sequence under 1 other name. Lineage: Eukaryota; Metazoa; Arthropoda; Insecta; Diptera; Drosophilidae.